This 482-nucleotide ribosomal RNA is filed under the name uncultured bacterium. Its description in RNAcentral is "partial 16S ribosomal RNA". It matches the Rfam family "Bacterial small subunit ribosomal RNA", at positions 30 to 507 of the family's 1533-position model. The record is from RNAcentral.
AUUGAACGCUGGCGGCAUGCUUUACACAUGCAAGUCGAACGGUAACAGGCCGCAAGGUGCUGACGAGUGGCGAACGGGUGAGUAAUGCAUCAGAACGUGCCCAGUCGUGGGGGAUAACUACUCGAAAGAGUAGCUAAUACCGCAUACGAUCUAUGGAUGAAAGCGGGGGACCGUAAGGCCUCGCGCGAUUGGAGCGGCCGAUGUCAGAUUAGGUAGUUGGUGGGGUAAAGGCUCACCAAGCCAACGAUCUGUAGCUGGUCUGAGAGGACGACCAGCCACACUGGGACUGAGACACGGCCCAGACUCCUACGGGGGGCAGCAGUGGGGAAUUUUGGACAAUGGGCGCAAGCCUGAUCCAGCAAUGCCGCGUGCAGGAAGAAGGCCUUCGGGUUGUAAACUGCUUUUGUACGGAACGAAACGGCUCUGGUUAAUACCCGGGGCUAAUGACGGUACCGUAAGAAUAAGCACCGGCUAACUACGUG